This 338-nucleotide ribosomal RNA is filed under the name uncultured bacterium. RNAcentral describes it as "bacterial SSU rRNA". It matches the Rfam family "Bacterial small subunit ribosomal RNA", at positions 18 to 344 of the family's 1533-position model. The record is from RNAcentral.
CAUGGCUCAGGAUAAACGCUGGCGGUGUACAUAAGACAUGCAAGUCGAACGGGAGAAGACUGGAAGAUUUAUCUACUAGCUCGGACACCGUGGCGGACGGGUGAGUAACACGUAAGCAACCUGCCUAUAAGAGGGGAAUAACAGUGAGAAAUUACUGAUAAUACCGCAUAAGCUGGAGGUAUCGCAUGAUACAUUCAGAAAAGAUUUAUCGCUUAUAGAUGGGCUUGCGUCUGAUUAGCUAGUUGGUGAGAUAACAGCUCACCAAGGCGACGAUCAGUAGCCGGAUUGAGAGGUUGAACGGCCACAUUGGGACUGAGACACGGCCCAGACUCCUACGG